Molecule: small nucleolar RNA, 75 nt
Filed under: Ornithorhynchus anatinus (platypus)
Lineage: Eukaryota; Metazoa; Chordata; Mammalia; Monotremata; Ornithorhynchidae
Description: Small nucleolar RNA R38 (ENSOANG00000018500.2)
Rfam family: Small nucleolar RNA R38
About the family: snoR38 is a C/D box small nucleolar RNA conserved across yeast, human, Arabidopsis and rice. It is encoded in the intron of elongation factor-1 gamma in both pombe and cerevisiae. snoR38 guides the methylation of 2'-O-ribose sites in 28S rRNA.
Source: Rfam by way of RNAcentral
GCGAGCUAGUGAUGAGUAAAAGUUAUCCCUGUCUGAACAAAAUCCUUUGUGGAAUUUUGAUUUCCUGAGGCUCAG